AGUGAACGCUGGCGGUAGGCCUAACACAUGCAAGUCGAACGGCAGCACAGUAAGAGCUUGCUCUUACGGGUGGCGAGUGGCGGACGGGUGAGGAAUACAUCGGAAUCUACUUUUUCGUGGGGGAUAACGUAGGGAAACUUACGCUAAUACCGCAUACGACCUACGGGUGAAAGCAGGGGAUCUUCGGACCUUGCGCGAUUGAAUGAGCCGAUGUCGGAUUAGCUAGUUGGCGGGGUAAAGGCCCACCAAGGCGACGAUCCGUAGCUGGUCUGAGAGGAUGAUCAGCCACACUGGAACUGAGACACGGUCCAGACUCCUACGGGAGGCAGCAGUGGGGAAUAUUGGACGAAGGGCGCAAGCCUGAUCCAGCCACACCGCGUGGGUGAAGAAGGCCUUCGGGUUGUAAAGCCCUUUUGUUGGGAAAGAAAAGCAGCAGGUUAAUACCCCGCUGUUCUGACGGUACCCAAAGAAUAAGCACCGGCUAACUUCGUG
Molecule: ribosomal RNA, 492 nt
Filed under: uncultured bacterium
Lineage: Bacteria
Description: partial 16S ribosomal RNA
Rfam family: Bacterial small subunit ribosomal RNA
Source: RNAcentral